This 1504-nucleotide ribosomal RNA is filed under the name metagenome. RNAcentral's name for it is "bacterial LSU rRNA". It matches the Rfam family "Bacterial large subunit ribosomal RNA", at positions 1277 to 2910 of the family's 2925-position model. The record is from RNAcentral.
AGUGAUCAGAAGUGAGAAUGUUGACAUGAGUAGCAACAAACAGGGUGAGAGACCCUGUCGCCGAAAGUCCAAGGGUUCCUGCUUAAAGCUAAUCUGAGCAGGGUAAGCCGGCCCCUAAGGCGAGGCCGAAAGGCGUAGUCGAUGGGAACCAGGUUAAUAUUCCUGGGCCAGGAGAUGGUGACGGAUCACAGAGCUAGUGAGGUCUUAUCGGAUUGAUCUUGCUGGUGAGUGGUUCCUGGAAAUAGCCCUCCAUGAGACCGUACCCUAAACCGACACAGGUGGACUGGUAGAGAAUACCAAGGCGCUUGAGAGAACCACAUUUAAGGAGCUCGGCAAAAUACCUCCGUAAGUUCGCGAGAAGGAGGCCCCGUUUGUACGCAAGUAUGGGCGGGGGGCACAAACCAGGGGGUGGCGACUGUUUACUAAAAACACAGGGCUCUGCGAAGUCGCAAGACGACGUAUAGGGUCUGACGCCUGCCCGGUGCCGGAAGGUUAAAAGGAGAUGUGCAAGCAUUGAAUUGAAGCCCCGGUAAACGGCGGCCGUAACCAUAACGGUCCUAAGGUAGCGAAAUUCCUUGUCGGGUAAGUUCCGACCUGCACGAAUGGCGUAACGACUUCCCCGCUGUCUCAAAUGUGGACUCAGCGAAAUUGAAUUGUCUGUGAAGAUGCAGACUUCCCGCGGUUAGACGGAAAGACCCCAUGCACCUUUACUAUAGCUUCGCACUGGCAUCAGGAUUGUGAUGUGCAGGAUAGGUGGUAGGCAUUGAAACCGGGACGCCAGUUCCGGUGGAGCCAUCCUUGAGAUACCACCCUUCGCACUCUUGAUGUAUAACCGCGGCCCGUUAUCCGGGUCCGGGACCCUGCGUGGUGGGUAGUUUGACUGGGGCGGUCGCCUCCCAAAAAGUAACGGAGGCGCGCGAAGGUUGGCUCAGAGCGGUCGGAAAUCGCUCGUUGAGUGCAAUGGCAGAAGCCAGCCUGACUGCAAGACUGACAAGUCGAGCAGAGACGAAAGUCGGCCAUAGUGAUCCGGUGGUCCCGAGUGGAAGGGCCAUCGCUCAACGGAUAAAAGGUACGCUGGGGAUAACAGGCUGAUGAUGCCCAAGAGUCCAUAUCGACGGCAUCGUUUGGCACCUCGAUGUCGGCUCAUCUCAUCCUGGGGCUGGAGCAGGUCCCAAGGGUAUGGCUGUUCGCCAUUUAAAGAGGUACGUGAGCUGGGUUUAGAACGUCGUGAGACAGUUCGGUCCCUAUCUGCCGUGGGUGUAGGAUACUUGAGAGGAGUUGCCCCUAGUACGAGAGGACCGGGGUGAACGUUCCACUGGUGGACCAGUUGUCGUGCCAACGGCAGUGCUGGGUAGCUAUGAACGGACAGGAUAAACGCUGAAGGCAUCUAAGCGUGAAGCCCCCCUCAAAACAAGGUAUCCCUUGAGAGCCGUGGAAGACCACCACGUCGAUAGGCCGGAAUGUAAGCGCAGCAAUGUGUUCAGUUGACCGGUACUAAUGGCUC